GAUGAACGCUAGCGGCAGGCCUAACACAUGCAAGUCGAGGGGUAACAUAGGAAAGCUUGCUUUUCUGAUGACGACCGGCGCACGGGUGCGUAACGCGUAUACAACCUACCUUUUAGCGGGGAAUAGCCCAGGGAAACUUGGAUUAAUGCCCCAUAGUAUAUAGACUUCUCCUGAAGUUUAUAUUAAACAUUUAUGGCUAUUAGAUGGGUAUGCGUCCUAUUAGUUAGUUGGUAAGGUAACGGCUUACCAAGGCAGCGAUAGGUAGGGGUCCUGAGAGGGAGAUCCCCACACUGGUACUGAGACACGGACCAGACUCCUACGGGAGGCAGCAGUGAGGAAUAUUGGACAAUGGGCGAGAGCCUGAUCCAGCCAUGCGCGUGCAGGAAGACUGCCCUAUGGGUUGUAAACUGCUUUUACAGAGGAAGAACCACCCCCACGUGUGGGGGUUUGACGGUACUCUGCGAAUAAGGAUCGGCUAACUCCGUG
Molecule: ribosomal RNA, 486 nt
Filed under: uncultured bacterium
Lineage: Bacteria
Description: bacterial SSU rRNA
Rfam family: Bacterial small subunit ribosomal RNA
Source: RNAcentral